Salarias fasciatus (jewelled blenny) is the source of this 1423-nucleotide long non-coding RNA. RefSeq lists it as uncharacterized. The record is from RefSeq and is a predicted model, not a curated record. The transcript is spliced from 3 exons. NCBI's taxonomy places the organism in Eukaryota, Metazoa, Chordata, Actinopteri, Blenniiformes, Blenniidae.
UUCAUUGCCUGGGAGUUGUUGACCUACUGCUGUAUCAGUGAGAGGAGGACUUUAAUGACAGAGGGUGGUUCCUGCAGCACUGCUUUCUGUGUCUGCCUCCAUUCUAUAUAUGGCUUCUUUCAACUGAACUUCAAAUUCAAUCAGCAUGAUAAACUCUUGGAUUUCAUUGUUUUGUUUUUAACCAGGUUCAGCCAAGGCAACACACACUGUAUUCUUUUUCCACUUCAUAGAUCCUGAAAUUGUUGCUUUUCACUGUGCUGUAAAGACCAGGUAGGUCCCUACAUUCUUUUUGCCCAGCAGGGGUGAUUAAUUAUUGUUGUUCGCUGUCAUUUUGGAUGUCAAACUUGGGUCACUGGGUUAAAGUAAUCUGAAGUCACGUUGUUGUGACUGAAAAAAAAAAAAAAAAAAAACAAUAUUUGAUCUUUGGACCCUAGUAUCCAGUUCGGGGACGCUAUAGAAGGGGGUGCAGCACACGCCCUGGGGGGGCAGAGAGUAGUGACGUCACACGCCAACCUUUAAGACGUCAGUCGGAAGAAUGAAGCCGUGGAGUUGUUGCCAGUGGGAGCUGUGCCAUUUGGAUUUAUAACUUUGUUGCCCAUUUUGGUCCACUGGAUCAAUCUGCCAAAGAGCUGCUGGGCUGGUGAGGAGACACAUCAGGGACCAGAGGACUGUGGAUUAUUUGGGAUUAUGCACUAGGAAAAUACAAUCCAUCAUGGCAGAGCUUGGAAAGGAUUUUUGAUGUCUGGCAUCAUCCUUCUGUUCUUGAGUCUGUUUGUCUACAUAUUUUAUUAUAUCGACUUUCUGGAGUUUCAGAAAACACCGCGCCUCCAUUCAAGAACAUAAGUGUCUCCAGUGAUCCAGGCUCGAAUCAGAACUCCUGCACCUUCCGAUGGUUGUCUCCCCAAAGAGAUCCAAGAGGAAAACAUCCUUUUAGAUUCCAUAGCUUGGCCAAAUACUCCAUCUGUGUCAACUUCUGUUUCCCUGGAAGGCACCAGCAAUGCAGCCCGCAGCAAAUGUGUCAUUCUCCCAAGGCCAGGAGGUGGAUCGUGGCUCGUGGGGGAUCAGCUGGAGGUCAUGAUCAAGAUGUUUGACUUUAAGGGUCAUCCAAAGAAUCAUGGAGGAGAUUUCUUCCUGGCUCGGCUGCACAACCAGGCUCUUCAUGCAGGUGUGGCAGGUCAAGUGGUGGAUCAUCUCAAUGGGACCUACUCUGCUGUGUUCUUCUUACCCUGGGAAGGAAAGUCAGACCACACCAAUGCAAUGUCUUACUUAGUAAGUAUACGUCAAUAAAGAAGAAAAAUAUAAUAAUUAUAAUGAUAAUAAUAUUAAUAAUAAUAAUGGUAGUCAUGGUAUUAAUAACAGUAAUAGAUAUGCUUGUGUAUUUAUAUCUUCAUGUAUGUAAGUAUAUAUAGCAGUGAAGGGAAAA